CCUACGGGUGGCUGCAGUGGGGAAUAUUGCACAAUGGGCGCAAGCCUGAUGCAGCCAUGCCGCGUGUGUGAAGAAGGCCUUCGGGUUGUAAAGCACUUUCAGCGGGGAGGAAGGCGGUGAGGUUAAUAACCUCAUCGAUUGACGUUACCCGCAGAAGAAGCACCGGCUAACUCCGUGCCAGCAGCCGCGGUAAUACGGAGGGUGCAAGCGUUAAUCGGAAUUACUGGGCGUAAAGCGCACGCAGGCGGUCUGUCAAGUCGGAUGUGAAAUCCCCGGGCUCAACCUGGGAACUGCAUUCGAAACUGGCAGGCUAGAGUCUUGCAGAGGGGGGUAGAAUUCCAGGUGUAGCGGUGAAAUGCGUAGAGAUCUGGAGGAAUACCGGUGGCGAAGGCGGCCCCCUGGACAAAGACUGACGCUCAGGUGCGAAAGCGUGGGGAGCAAACAGGAUUAGAACCCGAGGAGGC
RNAcentral lists this ribosomal RNA (464 nucleotides) under uncultured Klebsiella sp. RNAcentral's name for it is "bacterial SSU rRNA". It matches the Rfam family "Bacterial small subunit ribosomal RNA", at positions 338 to 794 of the family's 1533-position model. The record is from RNAcentral. Lineage: Bacteria; Pseudomonadati; Pseudomonadota; Gammaproteobacteria; Enterobacterales; Enterobacteriaceae.